GACGUAGGGGGCCAGCGUUGCUCGGAAUUACUGGGUGUAAAGGGUUCGUAGGCGGUGUGGCAAGUCGGGAGUGAAAUCUCUGGGCUCAACCCAGAGUCUGCUUCCGAAACUGCUGUGCUUGAGUGUGGGAGAGGCGCGUGGAAUUGCAGGUGUAGCGGUGAAAUGCGUAGAUAUCUGCAGGAACACCCGUGGCGAAAGCGGCGCGCUGGACCACUACUGACGCUGAGGCGCGAAAGCUAGGGGAGCAAACGGG
This 253-nucleotide ribosomal RNA is filed under the name uncultured bacterium. RNAcentral's name for it is "partial 16S ribosomal RNA". It matches the Rfam family "Bacterial small subunit ribosomal RNA", at positions 524 to 776 of the family's 1533-position model. The record is from RNAcentral.